UGUUAGGUCAUGGCCUAAAGCAGUGAUUGAGCACCUGGUGAAGAGGCGUAGCCAGCUCUGGGAGCACAGGUGGAAGCAAUUCUAUCCCUCCCUAACCUCAUUUAAGGGCUGGCAGCCACAAGGGAAGCAUUAUGCUUGGGAUUGCCUCCUUUGGAACGUUUUGUGACCUCUCAUCCUCAGAAAGGGGGAGAAGAUGACUGAGCAAAUCAUGAAGAGGUCUGGUGCCUCAGGUUGCUGUGGCUGCAAUUGUGGCUGUCUUGCUGUAUCCUGUAACUGCUUCCUCUGAGCCCUGUCUGUGAGAAGAAUCCAAAAUGAGCAACUUGAGUUUAAAAAUCUGUGGAUGUCUUUGGUUCUGGU
This is a long non-coding RNA of Tympanuchus pallidicinctus (lesser prairie-chicken), 357 nucleotides long. RefSeq lists it as uncharacterized. The record is from RefSeq and is a predicted model, not a curated record. Lineage: Eukaryota; Metazoa; Chordata; Aves; Galliformes; Phasianidae. The transcript has 3 exons.